CAAGAUAAAAACAAGAAGUCUAGUCGUAUGCAAACUGGUCUGAUCGGUUCCCAGACUGGUCUGACCGGUGUCUCUAGUGAGCUUGGAGAUACCUCCAAAUCCAAGAAUAAAGCAAGGCCAAGCUUUGAGGGACUCUUGGCCAAGUAUAAGAAGAAAGUCGCUGCUCAGAAGCGAAUGAGUCGGCCAAAUAAUACUAGAGAUGCAAAAUCACCGCCAAGAUAUGAAAGACAACAAGGUAUGCACCAAUAAAAGGGUAAUUUUGCUACUGCACAAUAUUCUUU
RNAcentral lists this long non-coding RNA (281 nucleotides) under Setaria viridis. Its description in RNAcentral is "long non-coding RNA (SVIR_LNC003034)". Lineage: Eukaryota; Viridiplantae; Streptophyta; Magnoliopsida; Poales; Poaceae. The record is from RNAcentral.